Molecule: ribosomal RNA, 465 nt
Filed under: Vreelandella stevensii
Lineage: Bacteria; Pseudomonadati; Pseudomonadota; Gammaproteobacteria; Oceanospirillales; Halomonadaceae
Description: partial 16S ribosomal RNA
Rfam family: Bacterial small subunit ribosomal RNA
Source: RNAcentral
CCUACGGGGGGCAGCAGUGGGGAAUAUUGGACAAUGGGGGCAACCCUGAUCCAGCCAUGCCGCGUGUGUGAAGAAGGCCCUCGGGUUGUAAAGCACUUUCAGUGAGGAAGAACGCCUGGUGGUUAAUACCCAUCAGGAAAGACAUCACUCACAGAAGAAGCACCGGCUAACUCCGUGCCAGCAGCCGCGGUAAUACGGAGGGUGCGAGCGUUAAUCGGAAUUACUGGGCGUAAAGCGCGCGUAGGUGGCUUGAUAAGCCGGUUGUGAAAGCCCCGGGCUCAACCUGGGAACGGCAUCCGGAACUGUCAAGCUAGAGUGCAGGAGAGGAAAGUAGAAUUCCCGGUGUAGCGGUGAAAUGCGUAGAGAUCGGGAGGAAUACCAGUGGCGAAGGCGGCCUUCUGGACUGACACUGACACUGAGGUGCGAAAGCGUGGGUAGCAAACAGGAUUAGAUACCCUUGUAGUC